RNAcentral lists this ribosomal RNA (467 nucleotides) under uncultured bacterium. Its description in RNAcentral is "partial 16S ribosomal RNA". It matches the Rfam family "Bacterial small subunit ribosomal RNA", at positions 28 to 506 of the family's 1533-position model. The record is from RNAcentral.
GACGAACGCUGGCGGCGUGCUUAACACUUGCAAGUCGAACGGAAAGGCCCUGCUUUUGUGGGGUGCUCGAGUGGCGAACGGGUGAGUAACACGUGAGUAACCUGCCCUUGACUUUGGGAUAACUUCAGGAAACUGGGGCUAAUACCGGAUAGGAGCUCCUGCUGCAUGGUGGGGGUUGGAAAGUUUCGGCGGUUGGGGAUGGACUCGCGGCUUAUCAGCUUGUUGGUGGGGUAGUGGCUUACCAAGGCUUUGACGGGUAGCCGGCCUGAGAGGGGGACCGGCCACAUGGGGAUGGAGAACAGGCCCAGGCCCCUCGGGGGGGAAGAAGGGGGGAAUAUUGCAAAAGGGGGGGAGGCCUGAGCCGGCAACGCCGGGGGCGGGAGGGCGGCCUUCGGGUUGAAAACCCUUUUCCCCUGUGGCGAAGGGUGAAGGGGGGGAAGGGGAAAAGAAGCACCGGCAAACUACGG